Molecule: small RNA, 179 nt
Filed under: Marmota marmota marmota (Alpine marmot)
Lineage: Eukaryota; Metazoa; Chordata; Mammalia; Rodentia; Sciuridae
Also listed under: 1 other name
Description: Metazoan signal recognition particle RNA
Rfam family: Metazoan signal recognition particle RNA
About the family: The signal recognition particle (SRP) is a universally conserved ribonucleoprotein. It is involved in the co-translational targeting of proteins to membranes. The eukaryotic SRP consists of a 300-nucleotide 7S RNA and six proteins: SRPs 72, 68, 54, 19, 14, and 9.
Source: Rfam by way of RNAcentral
GCUGCCUAUAGUUCCAGCUGCUUGGGAGGCUAAUGCAGGAGGAUAGCCUGGGCUCAGGAGCUGGAGGCUAUAGUGUGCUAUGCUGACUGGGUGUCCACAUUAGGUGUCAGCAGUGGGACUAUGCCUGCGAAUAGCCACUGUACCUUCAGCCUGAGCAAUAGAGCAAGACCCUGUCUUUG